This 449-nucleotide ribosomal RNA is filed under the name uncultured bacterium. RNAcentral's name for it is "partial 16S ribosomal RNA". It matches the Rfam family "Bacterial small subunit ribosomal RNA", at positions 29 to 523 of the family's 1533-position model. The record is from RNAcentral.
AGCGAACGCUGGCGGCAGGCUUAACACAUGCAAGUCGAGCGGGCCCUUCGGGGUCAGCGGCGGACGGGUGAGUAACGCGUGGGAACGUGCCUUCUGGUCUGGAAUAACCCUGGGAAACUAGGGCUAAUACCGGAUACGCCCUUUUGGGGAAAGGUUUACUGCCGGAAGAUCGGCCCGCGUCUGAUUAGCUAGUUGGUGGGGUAACGGCCUACCAAGGCGACGAUCAGUAGCUGGUCUGAGAGGAUGAUCAGCCACACUGGGACUGAGACACGGCCCAGACUCCUACGGGAGGCAGCAGUGGGGGAUAUUGGACAAUGGGCGCAAGCCUGAUCCAGCCAUGCCGCGUGAGUGAUGAAGGCCUUAGGGUUGUAAAGCUCUUUUAUCCGGGACGAUAAUGACGGUACCGGAGGAAUAAGCCCCGGCUAACUUCGUGCCAGCCGCCGCAGUAA